This 486-nucleotide ribosomal RNA is filed under the name uncultured bacterium. RNAcentral's name for it is "partial 16S ribosomal RNA". It matches the Rfam family "Bacterial small subunit ribosomal RNA", at positions 30 to 507 of the family's 1533-position model. The record is from RNAcentral.
AUUGAACGCUGGCGGCAUGCCUUACACAUGCAAGUCGAACGGCAGCACGGGUGCUUGCACCUGGUGGCGAGUGGCGAACGGGUGAGUAAUACAUCGGAACAUGUCCUGUAGUGGGGGAUAGCCCGGCGAAAGCCGGAUUAAUACCGCAUACGAUCUACGGAUGAAAGCGGGGGACCUUCGGGCCUCGCGCUAUAGGGUUGGCCGAUGGCUGAUUAGCUAGUUGGUGGGGUAAAGGCCUACCAAGGCGACGAUCAGUAGCUGGUCUGAGAGGACGACCAGCCACACUGGGACUGAGACACGCCCCAGACUCCUACGGGAGGCAGCAGUGGGGAAUUUUGGACAAUGGGCGAAAGCCUGAUCCAGCAAUGCCGCGUGUGUGAAGAAGGCCUUCGGGUUGUAAAGCACUUUUGUCCGGAAAGAAAUCCUUGGCCCUAAUACGGUCGGGGGAUGACGGUACCGGAAGAAUAAGCACCGGCUAACUACGUG